GAUGAACGCUGACAGGAUGCUUAACACAUGCAAGUCUUUGGCGAAGCUGUGCUCGCACAGCCUAGCCAAGGCGGACGGGUGAGUAACGCGUAAGGAACUUGCCCUGCAGUCAGGGAUAACAGACGGAAACGACUGAUAAGACCUGGUAAAGUCAGGCGGACUCAUGUCCAGCCUGAUGAAAAGAGAUGCUGCAGGAGAGCCUUGCGUCCUAUUAGCUUGUUGGUGGGGUAACGGCCCACCAAGGCGAUGAUAGGUAGCCGGCCUGAGAGGGUGGACGGCCACAAGGGGACUGAGAUACGGCCCUUACUCCUACGGGAGGCAGCAGUGGGGAAUAUUGGACAAUGGGGGCAACCCUGAUCCAGCAAUUCUGUGUGCACGAUGAAGGUUUUCGGAUUGUAAAGUGCUUUCAGCAGGGAAGAAAAAAAUGACGGUACCUGCAGAAGAAGCGACGGCUAAAUACGUG
Molecule: ribosomal RNA, 463 nt
Filed under: uncultured bacterium
Lineage: Bacteria
Description: partial 16S ribosomal RNA
Rfam family: Bacterial small subunit ribosomal RNA
Source: RNAcentral